AAAGUACUUUCAGCGAGGAGGAAGGCGUUAAGGUUAAUAACCUUGGCGAUUGACGUUACUCGCAGAAGAAGCACCGGCUAACUCCGUGCCAGCAGCCGCGGUAAUACGGAGGGUGCAAGCGUUAAUCGGAAUUUACUGGGCGUAAAGCGGCACGCCAGGCCGGUCUGUCAAGUCGGAUGUGAAAUCCCCGGGCUCAACCUG
RNAcentral lists this ribosomal RNA (201 nucleotides) under Klebsiella aerogenes. RNAcentral's name for it is "partial 16S ribosomal RNA". It matches the Rfam family "Bacterial small subunit ribosomal RNA", at positions 427 to 616 of the family's 1533-position model. The record is from RNAcentral. Lineage: Bacteria; Pseudomonadati; Pseudomonadota; Gammaproteobacteria; Enterobacterales; Enterobacteriaceae.